RNAcentral lists this long non-coding RNA (612 nucleotides) under Nicotiana benthamiana. RNAcentral describes it as "long non-coding RNA (NBEN_LNC006539)". The record is from RNAcentral. Lineage: Eukaryota; Viridiplantae; Streptophyta; Magnoliopsida; Solanales; Solanaceae.
UUCUAGAAGAUUGCAAGCCUUGAGGAUGUCGUCCUCGUUCAUGAAAGACAAUUUGAACUUAAUCCUACAUAGAUAAAGAGACAUAGAUUACGACAGGUCCAAGAUGAAAUGCUUAAAUAUCUUGCUUUAUAAGAAGAUUUUUGGAGACAAAGAGCAGGCAUGUUAUGGUUCAAAGACGGCGAUAGAAACACUAAAUUCUUCCAUGCUCAAGUUAAUGGGAGAAGGAAAAGACUGAAAUUAUCAAGGAUCUAGAAUAGCUUUGGUAACUGGAUUGAAGAAGAUCACUUAAUAACAGAAGAAGCAGUAAAAUUCUACAAGGAUCAAUUUACUGAGAGUACAGUUUGGUAACUUGAUUGAAGAAGAUCACUUAAUAGCAGAAGAAGCAGUAAAAUUAUACAAGGAUCAAUUUUCUGAGAGUACAGUCCCCCAUGCUUUUGAUAUUCUAAAUCAAGUACCUUCAUUGGUAGAUAAUGAUCAACAUGAGAGAUUGAUGUCUUUGCCUUCUAAUUAGGAAGUGAAGAGAGCAGUUAUGGGGCUGAAUGGGGACUCCACAGGCGGACCGGAUGGUUUCACUGGAGCCUUUUACCAAACAUGUUGGGAAAUCAUUGAAGA